CUACGGGUGGCAGCAGUGAGGAGUAUUGCACAAUGGGGGGAACCCUGAUGCAGCAACGCCGCGUGGAGGAUGACGCAUUUCGGUGUGUAAACUCCUUUUAUAUGUCAAGAAAAUGACGGUAGCAUAUGAAUAAGCACCGGCUAACUCCGUGCCAGCAGCCGCGGUAAUACGGAGGGUGCAAGCGUUACUCGGAAUCACUGGGCGUAAAGGACGCGUAGGCGGGUUGGAAAGUCAGGUGUGAAAUCCUACAGCUUAACUGUAGAACUGCACUUGAAACUUCUAAUCUAGAGUAUGGGAGGGGGAGAUGGAAUUAGUGGUGUAGGGGUAAGAUCCGUAGAUAUCACUAGGAAUACCUAAAGCGAAGGCGAUCUCCUGGAACAUUACUGACGCUAAGGCGUGAAAGCGUGGGGAGCAAACAGGAUUAGAUACCCGAGUAGUC
RNAcentral lists this ribosomal RNA (439 nucleotides) under uncultured bacterium. Its description in RNAcentral is "partial 16S ribosomal RNA". It matches the Rfam family "Bacterial small subunit ribosomal RNA", at positions 339 to 795 of the family's 1533-position model. The record is from RNAcentral.